UGGGGAAUAUUGGACAAUGGGCGCAAGCCUGAUCCAGCCAUGCCGCGUGAGUGAUGAAGGCCCUAGGGUUGUAAAGCUCUUUCACCGGUGAAGAUAAUGACGGUAACCGGAGAAGAAGCCCCGGCUAACUUCGUGCCAGCAGCCGCGGUAAUACGAAGGGGGCUAGCGUUGUUCGGAUUUACUGGGCGUAAAGCGCACGUAGGCGGACUUUUAAGUCAGGGGUGAAAUCCCGGGGCUCAACCCCGGAACUGCCUUUGAUACUGGAAGUCUUGAGUAUGGUAGAGGUGAGUGGAAUUCCGAGUGUAGAGGUGAAAUUCGUAGAUAUUCGGAGGAAAACCAGUGGCGAAGGCGGCUCACUGGACCAUUACUGACGCUGAGGUGCGAAAGCGUGGGGAGCAAACAGG
RNAcentral lists this ribosomal RNA (404 nucleotides) under Actinomycetes bacterium. RNAcentral's name for it is "Actinobacteria bacterium partial 16S ribosomal RNA". It matches the Rfam family "Bacterial small subunit ribosomal RNA", at positions 355 to 776 of the family's 1533-position model. RNAcentral also lists the same sequence under 1 other name. The record is from RNAcentral. Lineage: Bacteria; Bacillati; Actinomycetota; Actinomycetes.